CGGCGGACGGGUGAGUAACACGUGGAUAACCUACCUAUAAGACUGGGAUAACUUCGGGAAACCGGAGCUAAUACCGGAUAAUAUAUUGAACCGCAUGGUUCAAUAGUGAAAGACGGUUUUGCUGUCACUUAUAGAUGGAUCCGCGCCGCAUUAGCUAGUUGGUAAGGUAACGGCUUACCAAGGCAACGAUGCGUAGCCAACCUGAGAGGGUGAUCGGCCACACUGGAACUGAGACACGGUCCAG
This 244-nucleotide ribosomal RNA is filed under the name uncultured Staphylococcus sp. Its description in RNAcentral is "partial 16S ribosomal RNA". It matches the Rfam family "Bacterial small subunit ribosomal RNA", at positions 96 to 334 of the family's 1533-position model. The record is from RNAcentral. Lineage: Bacteria; Bacillati; Bacillota; Bacilli; Caryophanales; Staphylococcaceae.